UACGUAGGGUGCGAGCGUUGUCCGGAAUUAUUGGGCGUAAAGGGCUCGUAGGCGGUCUGUCGCGUUGUUCGUGAAAACUCACAGCUCAACUGUGGGCGUGCGGGCGAUACGGGCAGACUGGAGUACUGCAGGGGAGACUGGAAUUCCUGGUGUAGCGGUGGAAUGCGCAGAUAUCAGGAGGAACACCGGUGGCGAAGGCGGGUCUCCGGGCAGUAACUGACGCUGAGGAGCGAAAGCGUGGGGAGCGAACAGG
This 253-nucleotide ribosomal RNA is filed under the name uncultured bacterium. RNAcentral describes it as "partial 16S ribosomal RNA". It matches the Rfam family "Bacterial small subunit ribosomal RNA", at positions 524 to 776 of the family's 1533-position model. The record is from RNAcentral.